GUAAAUAUUUUUAAUAACAAAAUCAAGUUUAUUUUAUUUGUAAAAAAAAAAGAUCAGUGUAAAAAUUAAUAAUAACCUCUACAUGAGGGCUAGUUGGACUAGCUAUUUGGAGCCAAUCAAAACCCUUUACUGCAUAAGGUUUAUUUAAACCCUGCACAAGACGAGGUUUAUUUAAACCCUGCACUAGAUAAUGUUUCCAGGCUUUGGAAUGUGUUUAUCUUUUCAAGACUAAUUUCAGACCUUUUCACAAAUAUUUUAUGCAAAAUAACAAUUAUAGUUAACUGACUGUCAGUAUCAGAUCUGGAUGUGCUAAUGAGUUAGAAAAAGUUGAACAAUGAGUACUUACUCGUGUCCCUAUACACAUGGGAUUGUAACUGCCACCUUGUGUUGAUACACAAGACAAGCUGAUAUAUUAUGGCACAUACCACAAAUCUAUUCUAAAACUAUUCUGUCCAGUUCUAUCCCAUUUAUUGCUACAUCUAUUCUAUCAAGAUACCACAAUACGAUCCCAUCCAUAAAUACAACUAUUCUGUCAAGAUACCACAGUUCUAUCCCAUCUAU
Non-coding RNA from Biomphalaria pfeifferi, 561 nucleotides. Lineage: Eukaryota; Metazoa; Mollusca; Gastropoda; Planorbidae. The record is from the annotation of a GenBank genome assembly.